RNAcentral lists this ribosomal RNA (366 nucleotides) under uncultured bacterium. Its description in RNAcentral is "bacterial SSU rRNA". It matches the Rfam family "Bacterial small subunit ribosomal RNA", at positions 142 to 507 of the family's 1533-position model. The record is from RNAcentral.
GAUGAACGCUAGCUACAGGCUUAAUACCUGAUAGUAUGGUGAGAUUGCAUGAUAGCACCAUUAAAGAUUUAUUGGUAAACGAUGGGGAUGCGUUCCAUUAGGUAGUAGGCGGGGUAACGGCCCACCUAGCCGACGAUGGAUAGGGGUUCUGAGAGGAAGGUCCCCCACAUUGGAACUGAGACACGGUCCAAACUCCUACGGGAGGCAGCAGUGAGGAAUAUUGGUCAAUGGGCGAGAGCCUGAACCAGCCAAGUAGCGUGAAGGAUGAAGGUCCUACGGAUUGUAAACUUCUUUUAUACGGGAAUAAAGUAUCCUACGUGUAGGAUUUUGUAUGUACCGUAUGAAUAAGCAUCGGCUAACUCCGUG